Homo sapiens (human) is the source of this 408-nucleotide long non-coding RNA. Ensembl annotates it as long intergenic non-protein coding RNA 1983. The record is from Ensembl. Lineage: Eukaryota; Metazoa; Chordata; Mammalia; Primates; Hominidae.
GGGACUGUGACAGCAUCACGGCAGGACGGGUGCUCUGUAAUCGUUACGCACCAGGUGUCUUGGGAGCAGAGGAGGUGGCUCCCCACAAGGUCACGUUGUGCUGAUGUGAUGGGUGAGAACGGUGAACGCCAGGCUCGUCAAGCUUUCCAAUUUGAGUCUUCAGCUAUCCAGAAGCUGUGAAGGGGCAGCCCCGUCACCAGACACAAUCCUUGCAAAGGGACAGCCUCCAUCAGCCUCCAUGGAAGACUGACAGACCCACACAGGGGAGAAUAAAUCAACCUGCAAAUGAAGCAUUCAGCCAGCUUGGGAGUUCUGCUUUCCAUUUUAAAUUAAUACACCGGCCUUCUGGUUUGUACAUCGGUUGUCCUCCCGUGGGUCUGGCUGGUAGGCAUUGGUUUCUGAGGGGCU